Molecule: ribosomal RNA, 934 nt
Filed under: uncultured Flavobacterium sp.
Lineage: Bacteria; Pseudomonadati; Bacteroidota; Flavobacteriia; Flavobacteriales; Flavobacteriaceae
Description: bacterial SSU rRNA
Rfam family: Bacterial small subunit ribosomal RNA
Source: RNAcentral
UGCAGUCGAGGGGUAUAGUUCUUCGGAACUAGAGACCGGCGCACGGGUGCGUAACGCGUAUGCAAUCUACCUUUUACAGAGGGAUAGCCCAGAGAAAUUUGGAUUAAUACCUCAUAGUAUUAUAGAAUGGCAUCAUUUUAUAAUUAAAGUCACAACGGUAAAAGAUGAGCAUGCGUCCCAUUAGCUAGUUGGUAAGGUAACGGCUUACCAAGGCUACGAUGGGUAGGGGUCCUGAGAGGGAGAUCCCCCACACUGGUACUGAGACACGGACCAGACUCCUACGGGAGGCAGCAGUGAGGAAUAUUGGACAAUGGGCGCAAGCCUGAUCCAGCCAUGCCGCGUGCAGGAUGACGGUCCUAUGGAUUGUAAACUGCUUUUAUACGAGAAGAAACACUCCGACGUGUCGGAGCUUGACGGUAUCGUAAGAAUAAGGAUCGGCUAACUCCGUGCCAGCAGCCGCGGUAAUACGGAGGAUCCAAGCGUUAUCCGGAAUCAUUGGGUUUAAAGGGUCCGUAGGCGGUUUAAUAAGUCAGUGGUGAAAGCCCAUCGCUCAACGGUGGAACGGCCAUUGAUACUGUUAGACUUGAAUUAUUAGGAAGUAACUAGAAUAUGUAGUGUAGCGGUGAAAUGCUUAGAGAUUACAUGGAAUACCAAUUGCGAAGGCAGGUUACUACUAAUGGAUUGACGCUGAUGGACGAAAGCGUGGGUAGCGAACAGGAUUAGAUACCCUGGUAGUCCACGCCGUAAACGAUGGAUACUAGCUGUUGGAAGCAAUCUCAGUGGCUAAGCGAAAGUGAUAAGUAUCCCACCUGGGGAGUACGUUCGCAAGAAUGAAACUCAAAGGAAUUGACGGGGGCCCGCACAAGCGGUGGAGCAUGUGGUUUAAUUCGAUGAUACGCGAGGAACCUUACCAAGGCUUAAAUGUAGAUUGGCC